AUACUGACCUUCAGCUUGUUCUGUUGUCAAUUAAAUGCUUCCCCAAUUGUCUGCAGUUUUCCCAGGGUGAGGCUCAUCCAUUGCACUCCAGGUGAGCUGACCCUUGCGACCUCCCCAAAUGCGGGAAACUCAACUGCAUAAUUUGUGGAGGGUCAUGGAAAUGAUUUUUUUUUAAAUGGC
This 180-nucleotide small nuclear RNA is filed under the name Pogona vitticeps (central bearded dragon). RNAcentral's name for it is "U1 spliceosomal RNA (ENSPVIG00000008322.1)". It matches the Rfam family "U1 spliceosomal RNA". Rfam says of the family: U1 is a small nuclear RNA (snRNA) component of the spliceosome (involved in pre-mRNA splicing). Its 5' end forms complementary base pairs with the 5' splice junction, thus defining the 5' donor site of an intron. There are significant differences in sequence and secondary structure between metazoan and yeast U1 snRNAs, the latter being much longer (568 nucleotides as compared to 164 nucleotides in human). Lineage: Eukaryota; Metazoa; Chordata; Lepidosauria; Squamata; Agamidae. The record is from RNAcentral.